GACGAACGCUGGCGGCGUGCCUAAUACAUGCAAGUCGAACGAACGGAUAAAGAGCUUGCUCUUUUGAAGUUAGUGGCGGACGGUGAGUAACACGUGGGUAACCUGCCUCACAGCUGGGGAUAACAUCGAGAAAUCGAUGCUAAUACCGAAUGUGCUGAGCAUCAUAAGAUGUUCAAGUGAAAGACGGUUUCGGCUGUCACUGUGAGAUGGACCCGCGCUGGAUUAGCUAGUUGGUAAGGUAAUGGCUUACCAAGGCGACGAUCCAUAGCCGACCUGAGAGGGUGAUCGGCCACAUUGGGACUGAGACACGGCCCAAACUCCUACGGGAGGCAGCAGUAGGGAAUCUUCGGCAAUGGACGAAAAGUCUGACCGAGCAAACGCCGCGUGAGCGAAGAAGGCCUCGGUCGGUAAACGUACGUACC
Molecule: ribosomal RNA, 422 nt
Filed under: uncultured bacterium
Lineage: Bacteria
Description: bacterial SSU rRNA
Rfam family: Bacterial small subunit ribosomal RNA
Source: RNAcentral